CCUCUCAUGGCGUAGUGGUAACGCGCCCCAACUAGAGAUCGGGGAGUCGUGAGUUCGAUUUUCACUGAGAAGA
Non-coding RNA from Aedes aegypti (yellow fever mosquito), 73 nucleotides. The record is from Rfam. Lineage: Eukaryota; Metazoa; Arthropoda; Insecta; Diptera; Culicidae.